This 422-nucleotide long non-coding RNA is filed under the name Nicotiana benthamiana. RNAcentral's name for it is "long non-coding RNA (NBEN_LNC041767)". The record is from RNAcentral. Lineage: Eukaryota; Viridiplantae; Streptophyta; Magnoliopsida; Solanales; Solanaceae.
CCGACUCUAGAGAUCAUGAUCCAAAGCCUUUCUCUCAUUUGGAUGUGUCAAAGUUCCCUAAGAGCUUUAAAGGGGACUCCAGGCAAUGCUGACACCCAAAUGUGUCACUAGAUUAUGACAUCGUGCAGUGUGGAAAGGCCAGCCCUUAAGUACCCAAGUUUAAAGGGAACCCAAGGUUGCAUGGCAAGGCUCAUGAUAGGGGCACAAAUCUUAAAACUAAGAGAGAGUGCAAGUGCACAACUCUGCGAGGGGAAAUGGGAAGGGAAAUAGUUACAAGUAGGUGCACAUAGUGGUUCAGGGGAAUGGGAAAUUGGAAAGACUAGGCAAGUUGUGGGCAUACCCAGCAAUGAAGAGUGAUAGGAUACCCAAAAGCCUACUAGAACACACUAUUAGAGGCUAGGAUCCCAAAAGAUCAAGUUUAG